This 497-nucleotide ribosomal RNA is filed under the name uncultured bacterium. RNAcentral describes it as "partial 16S ribosomal RNA". It matches the Rfam family "Bacterial small subunit ribosomal RNA", at positions 28 to 507 of the family's 1533-position model. The record is from RNAcentral.
GAUGAACGCUGGCGGCGUGCCUAAUACAUGCAAGUCGAGCGAACGGACGAGAAGCUUGCUUCUCUGAUGUUAGCGGCGGACGGGUGAGUAACACGUGGAUAACCUACCUAUAAGACUGGGAUAACUUCGGGAAACCGGAGCUAAUACCUGAUGAUAUUUUGAACCGCAUGGUUCAAAAGUGAAAGACGGUCUUGCUGUCACUUAUAUAUGGAUCCGCGCUGCAUUAGCUAGUUGGUAAGGUAACGGCAUACCAAGGCAACGAGGCAUAGCCGACCUGAGAGGGUGAGCGGCCACCCCGGAACUGAAACACGGUCCAGACUCCUACGGGAGGCAGCAGUAGGGAAUCUUCCGCAAUGGGCGAAAGCCUGACGGAGCCACGCCGCGUGAGUGAUGAAGGUCUUCGGAUCGUAAAACUAUGUUAUUAGGGAAGAACAUAUGUGUAAGUAACUGUGCACAUCUUGAAGGUACCUAAUCAGAAAGCCACGGCUAACUCCGUG